RNAcentral lists this transfer RNA (72 nucleotides) under Ovis aries (sheep). It matches the Rfam family "tRNA". Rfam says of the family: Transfer RNA (tRNA) molecules are approximately 80 nucleotides in length. Their secondary structure includes four short double-helical elements and three loops (D, anti-codon, and T loops). Lineage: Eukaryota; Metazoa; Chordata; Mammalia; Artiodactyla; Bovidae. The record is from Rfam by way of RNAcentral.
UCCCUAGUAGCUCAGUUGGUUAAGAAUCUGCCUGUAAUGCAGGAGACCCAGGUUCGAUCCCUGGAUCAGGAA